Molecule: ribosomal RNA, 616 nt
Filed under: uncultured bacterium
Lineage: Bacteria
Description: bacterial SSU rRNA
Rfam family: Bacterial small subunit ribosomal RNA
Source: RNAcentral
CCUACGGGAGGCAGCAGUAAGGAAUAUUGGUCAAUGGGCGCAAGCCUGAACCAGCCAUGCCGCGUGCAGGAAGACGGCCCUAUGGGUUGUAAACUGCUUUUGAACAAGAGAAAACCUCGGUACGUGUACCGAGCUGAUAGUAUUGUUAGAAUAAGCAUCGGCUAACUUCGUGCCAGCAGCCGCGGUAAGACGAAGGAUGCAAGCGUUAUCCGGAUUCAUUGGGUUUAAAGGGUGCGUAGGCGGCCUGAUAAGUCAGUGGUGAAAUCUCUCAGCUUAACUGAGAAACUGCCAUUGAUACUGUCGGGCUUGAGUACAGAUGAUGUGGGCGGAAUAUGACAUGUAGUGGUGAAAUACUUAGAUAUGUCAUAGAACACCGAUUGCGAAGGCAGCUCACAAAACUGUAACUGACGCUGAGGCACGAAAGUGCGGGGAUCAAACAGGAUUAGAUACCCUGGUAGUCCGCACCGUAAACGAUGAUUACUCGUUGUUGGCAAUAUGACCGUCAGCGACCAAGCGAAAGCGANAAGUAAUCCACCCUGGGGAGUACGCCGGCAACGGUGAAACGUCAAAGGAAUUGACGGCGNGAGAGNGCGACGGACGACGACGAGGGAGGAGG